RNAcentral lists this ribosomal RNA (253 nucleotides) under uncultured prokaryote. RNAcentral's name for it is "partial 16S ribosomal RNA". It matches the Rfam family "Bacterial small subunit ribosomal RNA", at positions 524 to 776 of the family's 1533-position model. The record is from RNAcentral.
UACGGAGGGUGCAAGCGUUAUCCGGAUUUACUGGGUUUAAAGGGUGCGUAGGCGGGCUUUUAAGUCAGCGGUGAAAUCUCCAGGCUCAACUUGGAAAUUGCCGUUGAUACUAUUAGUCUUGAAUUAAGUUGAGGUGGGCGGAAUGUGUCAUGUAGCGGUGAAAUGCUUAGAUAUGACACAGAACACCGAUUGCGAAGGCAGCUCGCUAAACUUAUAUUGACGCUGAGGCACGAAAGCGUGGGGAUCAAACAGG